AGUGAACGCUGGCGGUAGGCCUAACACAUGCAAGUCGAACGGCAGCACAGUAAGAGCUUGCUCUUACGGGUGGCGAGUGGCGGACGGGUGAGGAAUACAUCGGAAUCUACUUUUUCGUGGGGGAUAACGUAGGGAAACUUACGCUAAUACCGCAUACGACCUACGGGUGAAAGCAGGGGAUCUUCGGACCUUGCGCGAUUGAAUGAGCCGAUGUCGGAUUAGCUAGUUGGCGGGGUAAAGGCCCACCAAGGCGACGAUCCGUAGCUGGUCUGAGAGGAUGAUCAGCCACACUGGAACUGAGACACGGUCCAGACUCCUACGGGAGGCAGCAGUGGGGAAUAUUGGACAAUGGGCGCAAGCCUGGUCCAGCCAUACCGCGUGGGUGAAGAAGGCCUUCGGGUUGUAAAGCCCUUUUGUUGGGAAAGAAAAGCAGCAGGUUAAUACCCCGCUGUUCUGACGGUACCAAAGAAUAAGCACCGGCUAACUUCGUG
Molecule: ribosomal RNA, 491 nt
Filed under: uncultured bacterium
Lineage: Bacteria
Description: partial 16S ribosomal RNA
Rfam family: Bacterial small subunit ribosomal RNA
Source: RNAcentral